Molecule: ribosomal RNA, 877 nt
Filed under: uncultured bacterium
Lineage: Bacteria
Description: bacterial SSU rRNA
Rfam family: Bacterial small subunit ribosomal RNA
Source: RNAcentral
AGAGUUUGAUCCUGGCUCAGGAUGAACGCUAGCUACAGGCUUAACACAUGCAAGUCGAGGGGCAGCAUGACGAUAGCUUGCUAUUGUUGAUGGCGACCGGCGCACGGGCGAGUAACGCGUAUCCAACCUUCCCGUUGCUAGGGGAUAACCUUGCGAAAGUAAGACUCAUACCCUAUGAGGUUCUUCGCAGGCAUCUAAAGAGAACGAAAGAUUUAUCGGCAACGGAUGGGGAUGCGUCUGAUUAGGUUGUUGGCGGGGUAACGGCCCACCAAGCCUACGAUCAGUAGGGGUUCUGAGAGGAAGGUCCCCCACAUUGGAACUGAGACACGGUCCAAACUCCUACGGGAGGCAGCAGUGAGGAAUAUUGGUCAAUGGACGGAAGUCUGAACCAGCCAAGUAGCGUGCAGGAUGACGGCCCUAUGGGUUGUAAACUGCUUUUAUGUGGGAAUAAAGUGAGGGACGUGUCCCUUUUUGUAGGUACCACAUGAAUAAGGACCGGCUAAUUCCGUGCCAGCAGCCGCGGUAAUACGGAAGGUCCGGGCGUUAUCCGGAUUUAUUGGGUUUAAAGGGAGCGUAGGCCGUCUUUUAAGCGUGUUGUGAAAUACUGUCGCUCAACGACAGAGGUGCAGCGCGAACUGGGAGACUUGAGUGCGCGGAAUGCAGGCGGAAUUCGUCGUGUAGCGGUGAAAUGCUUAGAUAUGACGAAGAACUCCGAUUGCGAAGGCAGCUUGCAGUAGCGUAACUGACGCUGAAGCUCGAAAGUGCGGGUAUCGAACAGGAUUAGAUACCCUGGUAGUCCGCACGGUAAACGAUGGAUGCUCGCUGUGUGCCCUUGGGUACGCGGCCAAGCGAAAGCGUUAAGCAUCCCACCUGGGGA